RNAcentral lists this long non-coding RNA (829 nucleotides) under Homo sapiens (human). Its description in RNAcentral is "long non-coding RNA NONHSAT221101.1". Lineage: Eukaryota; Metazoa; Chordata; Mammalia; Primates; Hominidae. The record is from RNAcentral.
CCCGCCCCCGCCCCGCAGGGCCCCCAGGCCGGGCGCUGGGGGCGCACAGGCAUACAGAUUCUCUCUCCUCACCACGCGGCUGCUGCUGGAGGAUGGAGGAGGGGUGGUGUCAGCAAUUCAAGACUGUCUUUCCUACCCUCUUCAGUGCCCUUCCUUGAUAAGCUGUUUAAACCAGAACCGACUGUUUCUGGAAAAGGUAAACAUCUAUUCUCCAAAGGGCAGUGACUUUCUACCUGUGAAAAUAAAAAGUAAACUUCAGAAGAAAAUUCUGAAAGAGGAAUUUAGAGAUGUUCCAAAUAAAGGCAAUAUAGUUUCACUGGAACUGAAAUGUUGCCUUCCAAUUCUACUACAGAAGGCAGAGUGGCACAUGUGGCACCUGGUCAGGAUGGACUCACUAAAGGAUUUAACCCAGACUUCUGAUCAACAAAUAUUGCUGCUACAUUAACUGAUUCGCAACAAAGAAAGAAAAUAUCAUCCAGUUGAUUUUAUUAUUUAAAUAUGGGCUCAAAUCUUAAAUCUGACAAACUAAUAAAUAAAUAUGUCUGCUGACAGCUCAACUGAAGUCCCAGCCACAGCCAGCAUCAACUGCAAAGACACCUCCAGAUGACUGCAACCCCAGCCAUCAAGUCAUUCCCAGCCUUCAAGCCUUCCCAGCUGAGGCCCAGACAUCAGAGAAGGUAAACAAGCCACCUCUGCUGUGCUCUGUUCACAUUCCUGAUCCACAGAAACGGUAUGUAAGGUUCAUGUGGAUAAGGGCUUUGUCUUGUUCAGCAACGUGUCCAUUGCCCUGGAACAGUGCCUACUACCUAGCAGCCAUUCAGUAAGUAUU